GCGGCCAUGGUGUAACGGUUAGCAUUAUCGCCUUCCAUCUCACAGUGGAGUGUAGCGAUAGAUUCGGGUUCGACUCCCGAUGGUCGCA
Molecule: non-coding RNA, 88 nt
Organism: Neonectria punicea
Lineage: Eukaryota; Fungi; Ascomycota; Sordariomycetes; Hypocreales; Nectriaceae
Source: the annotation of a GenBank genome assembly